CCUACGGGAGGCAGCAGUGAGGAAUAUUGGUCAAUGGCCGUAAGGCUGAACCAGCCAAGUCGCGUGAAGGAAGAAGGAUCUAUGGUUUGUAAACCUCUUUUAUAGGGGAAUAAAGGUAUCCACGUGUGGAUAUUUGCAUGUACCCUAUGAAUAAGCAUCGGCUAACUCCGUGCCAGCAGCCGCGGUAAUACGGAGGAUGCGAGCGUUAUCCGGAUUUAUUGGGUUUAAAGGGUGCGUAGGGUGUUUUGUAAGUCAGCGGUGAAAGUUUGUGGCUCAACCAUAAAAUUGCCGUUGAAACUGGAAGUCUUGAGUGUGUUUGAGGUAGGCGGAAUGCGUGGUGUAGCGGUGAAAUGCAUAGAUAUCACGCAGAACUCCGAUUGCGAAGGCAGCUUACUAAGCCAUAACUGACGCUGAAGCACGAAAGCGUGGGGAUCAAACAGGAUUAGAUACCCUUGUAGUC
RNAcentral lists this ribosomal RNA (460 nucleotides) under uncultured bacterium. RNAcentral's name for it is "partial 16S ribosomal RNA". It matches the Rfam family "Bacterial small subunit ribosomal RNA", at positions 338 to 795 of the family's 1533-position model. The record is from RNAcentral.